This 1049-nucleotide long non-coding RNA is filed under the name Vulpes vulpes (red fox). Its description in RNAcentral is "lncRNA (ENSVVUG00000001481.1)". Lineage: Eukaryota; Metazoa; Chordata; Mammalia; Carnivora; Canidae. The record is from RNAcentral.
AUGACAUCAGCCCCACGUCGCCCUUUCAACAAAAAGACUUUCCCCAUCAUUCAUCCACUUGCAUGGAUUCUGCUGCCUUCUACAAGCAAGAUGGUUUUCAGAGCUAUAGAGCCAGCUCACAUCAAUGGGAGCCUGGACUCCAUACCCAUAGAUCCAGCUAAUUACCUGGCAUGUCACGUGAUGUCACACAGACAUCUAGAACUCCAGAGGCUCAGAUUGUACCUCAUCAUCUCCCCACCAACGCUGGCCCCUUCAGGCCCUACAGGCCCUCUCUCUGUGAAAGCUCCCAGCCUCUACCUCCCUGCCAGCCCCAUGCCCACUGAUGGCAGGGUCACCCCACACUAUUCUCUGCCCUCUCUCAGCCUCUCAUUCACCACUCAGCCCUUCAGGUUUGAUCUCAGGGACCUCAUCCUCUGCUCCCCCUUUCCAGUAUUCCACCUGUCUUCUCGGGAAGAGCGCUUGGUCCCAGAGCAAUCUGUUAACUCUGAUACCACACCCCUCCGCUCGCUAUUCCGAGCCAGACCGACCCUCCAACACCCAAGUCUGAUAGAGCCACUCCUCGUGAAGCAUCUUCAGUCGCUCCAGCUGACCCGCAGGACACCGUGGAAACCCCUUGCCAUAAACAGACAGCUCCCUAUGGUAGGACCCUCGGUGAAACUCUCCUGACAUGAGGACUGGUACAGCCUUUAGGUGGCCUGCAGAUAUAGACAAAUGGUAUGCACAGAAAGAAGGUCAAGAAAAGGAAAGGAGAAAAUGAAGAAAUGAUCCCUCUCGUCUUGGGCUGGUGACAGAUAUCAACUGACCCCGCCCAGUUCACAAGUGUGAUGGUGCAACCAAUUCUGAGCUGAAAGAUUCUCAAGCCCUUUGAUAGGCAUUCCCAGUAAUGACUCAUGGAAGAGGUACGAAAAUAUCCAUCGCAACACUAACCAGAGUGGAGAGGGGGAUGGGGGUUAAUGCAUGAGAAAUGAGGAUGCCCAGCACCUUGUGGAGCAAAAUAAGAGGCAGGGUUGUGGGGCAACAAUUGGAAAUAAAAACCCUCAUGUCCAACA